This is a non-coding RNA of Ficedula albicollis (Collared flycatcher), 46 nucleotides long. The record is from Rfam. NCBI's taxonomy places the organism in Eukaryota, Metazoa, Chordata, Aves, Passeriformes, Muscicapidae.
UCUGAGGCUCUCCUGAGAGCCAUCAACACAGAAAUAUCAAGGCCAU